GGAACUGCAUUCGAAACUGGCAGGCUAGAGUCUUGUAGAGGGGGGUAGAAUUCCAGGUGUAGCGGUGAAAUGCGUAGAGAUCUGGAGGAAUACCGGUGGCGAAGGCGGCCCCCUGGACAAAGACUGACGCUCAGGUGCGAAAGCGUGGGGAGCAAACAGGAUUAGAUACCCUGGUAGUCCACGCCGUAAACGAUGUCGAUUUGGAGGUUGUGCCCUUGAGGCGUGGCUUCCGGAGCUAACGCGUUAAAUCGACCGCCUGGGGAGUACGGCCGCAAGGUUAAAACUCAAAUGAAUUGACGGGGGCCCGCACAAGCGGUGGAGCAUGUGGUUUAAUUCGAUGCAACGCGAAGAACCUUACCUGGUCUUGACAUCCACAGAACUUGCCAGAGAUGGCUUGGUGCCUUCGGGAACUGUGAGACAGGUGCUGCAUGGCUGUCGUCAGCUCGUGUUGUGAAAUGUUGGGUUAAGUCCCGCAACGAGCGCAACCCUUAUCCUUUGUUGCCAGCGGU
This 509-nucleotide ribosomal RNA is filed under the name Klebsiella quasipneumoniae subsp. similipneumoniae. RNAcentral's name for it is "bacterial SSU rRNA". It matches the Rfam family "Bacterial small subunit ribosomal RNA", at positions 617 to 1125 of the family's 1533-position model. Lineage: Bacteria; Pseudomonadati; Pseudomonadota; Gammaproteobacteria; Enterobacterales; Enterobacteriaceae. The record is from RNAcentral.